AUUGAACGCUGGCGGCAUGCCUUACACAUGCAAGUCGAACGGUAACAGGUCUUCGGAUGCUGACGAGUGGCGAACGGGUGAGCAAUACAUCGGAACGUGCCUAGUAGUGGGGGAUAACUACUCGAAAGAGUGGCUAAUACCGGAUGAGAUCUACGGAUGAAAGCAGGGGAUAGCAAGACGUUGUGCUACUAGAGCGGACGAUGGCUGAUUAGGUAGUUGGUGGGAUAAAAGCUUACCAAGCCGACGAUCUGUAGCUGGUCUGAGAGGACGAUCAGCCACACUGGGACUGAGACACGGCCCAGACUCCUACGGGAGGCAGCAGUGGGGAAUUUUGGACAAUGGGCGCAAGCCUGAUCCAGCAAUGCCGCGUGCAGGAUGAAGGCCUUCGGGUUGUAAACUGCUUUUGUACGGAACGAAAAGCCCUGGGUUAAUACCCUGGGGUCAUGACGGUACCGUAAGAAUAAGCACCGGCUAACUACGUGCCAGCCGCCGCCGUAA
RNAcentral lists this ribosomal RNA (498 nucleotides) under uncultured bacterium. Its description in RNAcentral is "partial 16S ribosomal RNA". It matches the Rfam family "Bacterial small subunit ribosomal RNA", at positions 30 to 523 of the family's 1533-position model. The record is from RNAcentral.